Long non-coding RNA from Triticum aestivum (bread wheat), 4113 nucleotides. RefSeq lists it as uncharacterized. The transcript is spliced from 3 exons. Lineage: Eukaryota; Viridiplantae; Streptophyta; Magnoliopsida; Poales; Poaceae. The record is from RefSeq and is a predicted model, not a curated record.
ACCACUCACUCUAUCCCCCUCCUCCCCCCACCGCGCCGCCCACCACAUGCGUCUCCCAACUACGCCGCCGCCGCUACCGCCGCCCUCCUGCGCUGCUGCCUAGGCGUCGUGGUCUGCCACUCGCCGCCGCUGGACGGCUGGAGAUUGUCGACACCCAAGUGCCGCCCAUGCUCUGGCGCUUGCACGCCGCCGGCCCUGCCCCAUCCCACCCUCCGCCACCACCUUCCCCACCCCGAGCUCAGAUUUACGACGCCCACUGCCUUCCAGUUCGAGCUCCGCCUUGACCUCAUCCCUGCUGCCACCGUCUUCCCUGAACCAAGGAAGCCCUCAUCUGAUACGCUCUCAUCCGCGACGUGCUUCUCCAACCAUUGGUACGCGACGGUGGUUCGGUCCGGGAGGUGGCUCCUGCAAUCCUGGCGUCGCCGUAGCGGUGGUCCCAUUCCGGUGGCAUCAGGGGAGCACACAUCAUCCACGUGCAGCAAGCAGAGCCGGCCAAUGAUGCAGCAGCGCCGGCCAUGAGGAGACGCCUGCCGUGGUGGACGCGAAGACAACAUCCGUGGGCAUGGAAGACGGUUUUGGAUCUUGUGAGCCGCCGCCGCUGGCGUACAGAAAGUCAACGUCGGCCUUCUACUGCUCCAUGUCCAACAAGUCGCCCACGAGGCGUCAGUGUGGCAUUGCUAGCUCCAGCUUCCCCCCGCAAUCAUCUCUGCCGCCGGCACUUGCACGCAAUCGUGCUGGUUUCUGUAGUUCAAGAUCAAAGGCAAGAAUCAGCCAAAUAUGAUGAUGAGAACAACGCUAAUGAUGGAGAACCUUUAUAUAUCGAAGCUGAGAAGUCUAUUGGGAAUACUAAAUUUCAAUGCGCAUCCUAAGUUUCAGUUACCUGAAAUCAAGGCCAGUUUUAGUCGAUGCCGAAGUAAACUACCACAUACGUGAUGACCUUGAGAAAAUCCAUGCACUUCAAUUGGACAUGAGUUUUCUGCCAUGUAAUCAAUGAUGCACUUCACGUGAUAGAACUGUAAGAUCAGUACUUCUAUCUACUCUAUUCAUCACAUCUACACUUCUGUUUAUUCAUUCUAUGAGCUCUCUAUUUAAGAGAAACAACAGAGACUACUAUUUAAGAAUAAUAGCCUUUUCAAUUAAAUGCUGAAGUAUGUGUUUCCUGCAUGCACCCACAAGUUAUUCAAGAAAAACUAAUUAAUGCCUUAAACUUAAAAGUAUCUCAUGGCCACAACAAACAGUUCACUCAAAAUUAAAACAGGAACUACUUUUAUUGUGCUACAAACAAAAGCAUAACAGGGUUUAGGAACCACAGUUUUAAUUUUGAAAACCUUUACGAGUUUAGCAACAAACCGGCAUGGUAGAAAAGUUUUUAGAAAUACAGGGUAAUAAAAAAUGUAGUACUUCAAUGUGUGGGCAAGCAAUAAUACGUUUUUUAUAACAACUAUUAGGAUGUGAUUCGAGUAUGACACGACAUUUUCAAUGGUAGUCACAUUAGUAACGGCUGAAAUGUAUGCAACUUCUAUAUGGUAUCGUAGUGUCAUUCGAAGAGAGAAGUACUGCUUCUUAAGAUAAACAAAUAUUGACUAAAAAAGUACCAUGUCAAAACUGCCCAACUGAAAUAUCAUGAUCUGCACCUAAAGUGUGUUCCCGGUGAUAAAGACAACUAUAUGUUGUUUCCUUAAGGAAAACAUGCACACACAUUAUUGAUAGACAAAAAUACCACAAUAAUUAAUUCUGUCUAGUGUAUACUAACCGAAUUGAAACAUAUAGACUUAAAACAGGGGGCGAUUGUCUCAUGUUAUUAUCUAACAUGUCAUAUUGGCUAUACCUACAUCUCGAGACGUUCAAAGCAUAGGUGUACUGGAUGCAAAACUAUAUAGAUGCAUACUCUAAAUCCUCAGAGUCUGAGCAAAACAUGAUAAAAUUGAAGAUGAAGUGCACUGGCCCAUAGCAACGCCACUGAAGCUGGGCAUUCUUAAUCUGAUAGUGGUCGCGCAUGUUUAAAUAAAGAUUGCAGUCAAAUAAAAAACAAAGAUAAACAUAUGUACAAAAGCACUCCAGAGCAACAAAUUAUCUAUAGAAUAAGAGUAAAUGCUCUUGCCAUAUUCAAAACCCGCCGGUUUCGUAAGUGUGGACUUCAGCCUGUAAGGACUUUCUUAUAGACGAUGUUCUUCAUCAAGGUUUGUAAGGACAAGGAAGGUCUUUUUCACUUCUUUGAUUUAUCACUUUUCUUCUUGCCAUUAUCCUUCUCCUUCUCCUUCUCAAUGAGGAUCUUUAUGUUCCUCUUCGCGGUGGCUCGAGACAACGUGACAUAGAGUUGACCAUGAGAGAACACCAGAUUAGGUAGGUACACGCUAACAAUUGGAAUUGUCUGUCCUUGAGCCUUGUUAAUCGUCAUGGCAAAGCUAAGCCUUACAGGAAAUUGCUUCCUCUUGAACUUGAAUGGAAACAUGUCAUUGUUAGACGGGCAUAGGGGUAUUCGAGGAAGGAAUACCCUCCUACCUGCGUGUUGUCCGAUCACGAUUUCUGCAUCGAUGGCGUUCCUCUCGAAACCUCGGACCACAAGCCUCGUCCUGUUACACAGACCAUUAGCCAGAUCAAUGUUCCUCAGAAGUAUGAUAGGGCAGUUGAGCUUCAGGUUGAGUGCAUGCGGAGGCAGACCAUUGGGAGUCAACCCAUUCAGGAACUCGGGAGCGUAGUAGCCAUAUGGGUCGUCUUCUGCACUGUCAAAGCUAUGGUAGAUUACUUCUUCUCCCCGAAAAUGCUCUACCAUGCGUAUGUUUAUCUUGUCCACAUUGUCGUUUGUGGUGGAGAGGAUUGCGCGUGAAGUCAUGUAAUUCGGAUCGGACAUUUUGUCAUCUAGUCUCAGAAACACAUGGUCAAUCAGCUUCUCUAGGUCGUCCCCCUCGCAUGUAGAUCGCACACAAAUAUCUUCAGGGAGUCGUAUGUUUCCUUGAUCGUCAACUUCCUCGGUGCCAUUGCCUACCCUUAGCAAGUAGUCCACAAACCAGGUGUCAUUAUGAGCCCUCAUGUUGAUGACGAGCCUUAGCUGGCGCAUACCCUUCCAGAGAUGUGAACUUCGAAGGGUUGCAUCGAUUGUCUGACCCCGGGACCCCCUCCUGACGACCGGAAGCACCUGCCUGAAGUCCCCACCAAACACAACAGUUUUUCCUCCAAAGGGUCGGUCCCAUCUUCCCAUGAUGUCACGCAUGCUGUUGUCCAGUGCCUCGACCGCCCGUCGCUUAGUCAUGGUGGCCUCAUCCCAUAGUAUCAAUGAGGCCAUCCUCAGUAGCUUGGCGGUACCACUCUGCUUCGUGAAGGUGCAGGAGGCGCCAUCGUCGCAACUCAAUGGGAUCUUGAACCUCGAGUGGGCAGUCCUGCCUCCAGGCAUGAUAGAAGCCGCGACGCCUGACGUCGCGGUAGCGAUAGCGAUGUUUCCCUCGCUUCGAACCUUCGCGAGCAGCGCCCUGUACAGGAAGGUCUUCCCUGUACCUCCCGGGCCAUCAACAAAGAACACACCCCCAUCACCGCCAUCAACAGCAGCUAGUAUCUCGUCGUAUGCAACCCUCUGCUCGAAGUUUAGCGACGAUGCCAAUUUAGUGUCGUUGAUGUCAAAAUCGAUGUUGGAUUCCUCGAUCAAUUCUCCGGCCUCGCCCUCGGUUGGGUCGAACGCAUCAUCAAUGCAUGGAAGAGCGAAAUCCGCUAUGUCUUUUCCCAUGGACUGCAACAUACCCCUAAUGUCAAGCAACACCAUCUGUUCCACCUCAAUCGGGCACGUGUGUGAUCACCGAUAGUCAUCAGACAUAGGCUCGAGGUGCCUAUCCCAUAAACCACGCACGUCGCCUGGCUCACAGUGCACCAAAAUUGUUGCUAAGAGCCUCCUGAGUGAACAUGGCAUUGGUUGCGAGUAGCUAUUGCUUUGUGCAGGUGCCAGGGACUUGAGUGUGGCCUCCUACUGGAUUGAAACCUUGGUUCUCAAAAACUGAGGGAAAUACUUACGCUACUCUGUUGCAUCAUCUCUUCCUCUUCGGGGAAAACCAAUGCAAGCUCAAGACGUAGCAAGAAGGAUUUCUGGUGCCAUUGCCGGGGGUCUACGCAAAAAGUCAACAUACC